This 477-nucleotide ribosomal RNA is filed under the name Candidatus Brocadia fulgida. Its description in RNAcentral is "bacterial SSU rRNA". It matches the Rfam family "Bacterial small subunit ribosomal RNA", at positions 365 to 832 of the family's 1533-position model. The record is from RNAcentral. Lineage: Bacteria; Pseudomonadati; Planctomycetota; Candidatus Brocadiia; Candidatus Brocadiales; Candidatus Brocadiaceae.
UUCGCAAUGCCCGAAAGGGUGACGAAGCGACGCCGCGUGCGGGAAGAAGGCCUUCGGGUUGUAAACCGCUGUCGGGAGUUAAGAAAUGCAAGGGUGUUAACAGCGUCCUUGCUUGACUAAGGCUCCGGAGGAAGCCACGGCUAACUCUGUGCCAGCAGCCGCGGUAAUACAGAGGCGGCAAGCGUUGUUCGGAAUUAUUGGGCGUAAAGAGCACGUAGGCGGCCGUGUAAGUCGGUUGUGAAAGCCUUCCGCUCAACGGGAGAACGGCAUCCGAUACUGCAUGGCUUGAGUGCGGGAGGGGAGAGUGGAACUUCUGGUGGAGCGGUGAAAUGCGUAGAUAUCAGAAGGAACACCGGCGGCGAAGGCGACUCUCUGGCCCGUAACUGACGCUGAGUGUGCGAAAGCUAGGUGAGCAAACGGGAUUAGAUACCCCGGUAGUCCUAGCCGUAAACGAUGGGCACUAAGUAGAGGGGUUUU